AUGGCACCAUCCCCCCCCCCCAACCCUCCUUGCACACCCGUGGGGACCACCCUGGGGGCUCUGUCUCCUUGCUCUGGCUGCAGCCUCCCAGAAAACUUGAAGGCUCUGCACUUGUGGGAUUUUCUCCCUCGUCUGCCUGUCCUGAGAGCAGAAGGGGCUGGCCAGAAGCCCCCAGCCUCCUGUCCUCCCCCCGGAACAACCCCUGAAUGCUUUCCAGAGGGCUGGGAGCUGUUUGCACCCGAGCUCCAAGAACCCACAGCCGACAAAAGGCACCAGGAAGAAGGGAGCGGAGACUUUGCAGAGCUGGGGGCAAGAAAAGGGGAGAUUUUAGGGACCGGUGAUGGGGCUGUAAAACACGAGGAGGCCGAGGCCUGGAGAUGCGUGCUCUGGGAGGCCGCGCUGUGCUGGCUGAAGGAAGCAGCAGCAGGAAGGCUGCCCCUGACCUUGCCCGGCCUCAAGGCUCCUCCGCGGCCUCGACAGAGCUGGGUGGGCACCGGCCAUCGGCCUGAGCCCGGUGUCCCCCCUGGCAGGGCCUGGCUUUUGGUCCCGGUGCUGCUGGAGGGCCGGGGCGCUGCGCCCCAGCCCAGCCCAGGCCCAACUCCCGGCCUUCUGGCAAAGGAUCUCAGGGACUCACGGGUUUUUAGUUAUUUGCUGGAAGGUUGGUUUGGCCUUAAAGGACAGCGGCGUGGGCAGAGCAGGGAGGUGGUGGUGGCCAGCCCCUUCCUCUUCUGGACAUCACGAGCUCCGGCCCACGAGGAGCCACCAGCGGGGCCGGGUGCUUGGCACCCACCAAAGGCUCCGGGUUGCACGGACGUCCUCCAAGCGGCUUCUCCUCACAGCAGCCACGCAGUUUGCAGGGAUGCCACUGCCAUGGGUUGCAGGAGACGUCUGAAGGCCGCCACGAUGAGGGUAGCCCUCGCCAAGGAGCUCGCCUGGCUGCGGCGCAAGGCUGCGGCCGCCCCCAUUUUCUGUCUCCUGCUUUGCUCGGACACCCAAAGUUCCUCUGCGCUUGGCUUCCAUCCAUCACCCAGCUCCAGCAGCAGCUGA
Molecule: long non-coding RNA, 1047 nt
Filed under: Anas platyrhynchos (mallard)
Lineage: Eukaryota; Metazoa; Chordata; Aves; Anseriformes; Anatidae
Description: lncRNA (ENSAPLG00020009680.1)
Source: RNAcentral